RNAcentral lists this ribosomal RNA (496 nucleotides) under uncultured bacterium. RNAcentral's name for it is "partial 16S ribosomal RNA". It matches the Rfam family "Bacterial small subunit ribosomal RNA", at positions 29 to 523 of the family's 1533-position model. The record is from RNAcentral.
AUUGAACGCUGGCGGCAUGCUUUACACAUGCAAGUCGAACGGUAGAGGGGGCAACCCCUUGAGAGUGGCGAACGGGUGAGUAAUGCAUCGGAACGUGCCCAGUCGUGGGGGAUAACGCAGCGAAAGCUGCGCUAAUACCGCAUACGAUCUGAGGAUGAAAGCGGGGGACCGUAAGGCCUCGCGCGAUCGGAGCGGCCGAUGUCAGAUUAGGUAGUUGGUGGGGUAAAGGCCCACCAAGCCGACGAUCUGUAGCUGGUCUGAGAGGACGACCAGCCACACUGGGACUGAGACACGGCCCAGACUCCUACGGGAGGCAGCAGUGGGGAAUGUUGGACAAUGGGCGAAAGCCUGAUCCAGCAAUGCCGCGUGCAGGAAGAAGGCCUUCGGGUUGUAAACUGCUUUUGUACGGAGCGAAAAGGUCCUUUCUAAUACAAGGGGCUCAUGACGGUACCGUAAGAAUAAGCACCGGCUAACUACGUGCCAGCAGCCGCCGUAA